RNAcentral lists this non-coding RNA (186 nucleotides) under Desulfocarbo indianensis. The record is from RNAcentral. Lineage: Bacteria; Pseudomonadati; Thermodesulfobacteriota; Desulfarculia; Desulfarculales; Desulfarculaceae.
CCGUAUAUUUUUCCGGUGGAUGCCCGCAGGGUUUAAUAGGGAGGCCGGUGAAAAGCCGGUGUGGCCCUCCCACAGUGAUCGGGGGAAAGGCCGCGUAAUGGCCGCUGCCACCCAUGGGAGUGGUUGGAAGCCGCGGCUGGAGGUCGAUCCGAAAGCCAGAAGUCCUGUUCGUCGAAAACCUCGACG